UACGGAGGGUGCAAACGUUGUUCGGAAUUACUGGGCGUAAAGGGCGCGUAGGCGGAUAGUUCAGUUGGGGGUGAAAGCCCGGGGCUCAACCUCGGAACUGCCUUCAAUACUGGCUAUCUUGAGUACGGGGGAGGUGUGUGGAACUCCGAGUGUAGAGGUGAAAUUCGUAGAUAUUCGGAAGAACACCAGUGGCGAAGGCGACACACUGGCCCGUUACUGACGCUGAGGCGCGAAAGCGUGGGGAGCAAACAGG
This 253-nucleotide ribosomal RNA is filed under the name uncultured bacterium. RNAcentral describes it as "partial 16S ribosomal RNA". It matches the Rfam family "Bacterial small subunit ribosomal RNA", at positions 524 to 776 of the family's 1533-position model. The record is from RNAcentral.